ACCUACUGUUUAAUUUUGAGGGUUCGUUUUUACGAAUACUCAAAAUUAGCACUUUAAGCAACGGAAUUUAUUCGUUGGCGCUGUGCGUUAGCACUUUAAGCAACGGGAUUUAUCCGUUGGCGCUGUGCGUUAGCACUUUGAAAACUGCAUAUAUAUUUAGUGAUAUGACAUCUAAUUUGUAAUAUAUAAAGCUGAUAACUUUUAAAAUUAUCGAAGUUGAUAGCUUCUAAUCUAUCAAACCUUUUUAACUGGUCAA
RNAcentral lists this unclassified non-coding RNA (256 nucleotides) under Clostridioides difficile. Its description in RNAcentral is "16S-23S ribosomal RNA intergenic spacer". The record is from RNAcentral. Lineage: Bacteria; Bacillati; Bacillota; Clostridia; Peptostreptococcales; Peptostreptococcaceae.